Molecule: ribosomal RNA, 484 nt
Filed under: uncultured bacterium
Lineage: Bacteria
Description: partial 16S ribosomal RNA
Rfam family: Bacterial small subunit ribosomal RNA
Source: RNAcentral
AUUGAACGCUGGCGGCAGGCCUAACACAUGCAAGUCGAGCGGAUGAAGGGAGCUUGCUCCUGGAUUCAGCGGCGGACGGGUGAGUAAUGCCUAGGAAUCUGCCUGGUAGUGGGGGAUAACGUCCGGAAACGGGCGCUAAUACCGCAUACGUCCUGAGGGAGAAAGUGGGGGAUCUUCGGACCUCACGCUAUCAGAUGAGCCUAGGUCGGAUUAGCUAGUUGGUGGGGUAAAGGCCUACCAAGGCGACGAUCCGUAACUGGUCUGAGAGGAUGAUCAGUCACACUGGAACUGAGACACGGUCCAGACUCCUACGGGAGGCAGCAGUGGGGAAUGUUGGACAAUGGGCGAAAGCCUGAUCCAGCCAUGCCGCGUGUGUGAAGAAGGUCUUCGGAUUGUAAAGCACUUUAAGUUGGGAGGAAGGGCAGUAAGUUAAUACCUUGCUGUUUUGACGUUACCAACAGAGUAAGCACCGGCUAACUUCGUG